AAAACACGUAUUGCCCCAAACUGCUUGAGAUAACUAGCCAACUAGGUGUAAGUGGGUCCCACCUGCAGGUUUUAAGAUUUCACAAUCAACGACUUGAAUGGUCCUAAAUUGAAUAAGCAAUCCAAAAAAAGUCCUAAGUUAGAGACAAACUUCCCAGAUGUUACGGUGACAGCGUUUCAAACUAAUAACAAACUCUCUAAACCGUGUUUCUACACCACGCAUUGUGUGUCCUCUAUGGCUGAACGUUGAAGUGAGAAAAAGGCAGGAAAUCACUGCUAUAGAGAGAUAGAGAGGCAGGAAUUCACUGCAACUGAGUUUUUCCGACUGUUUUCGUUACCAGUUAUACGGGAAAACCAUCUCAAGACAGACAGAAAGUCAUUGCAAUAGAGACUAGAGAGGCAAUGUUAAAUCAACUCUAAGAUCUGAUUCACAUUUAAGGCAAUGAAAACAGCAGAGGUCCUAUAAGCUGCUGUGUGAUGGUGACGGAUCAACGUCCGUGUGUGAAUUCUUGAUCCAAACCCACCAAUUUCGUACGUUUGGUAACAUUGACACCACGAAUCGUUUCACAGUUUUGUGCAUACAAACUAUAUCAACAACCAUUUGAAUUUAAUGAUAUAUUUCAGUUUCUGAUCCA
Molecule: long non-coding RNA, 634 nt
Organism: Pyrus x bretschneideri (Chinese white pear)
Lineage: Eukaryota; Viridiplantae; Streptophyta; Magnoliopsida; Rosales; Rosaceae
Exons: 2
Source: RefSeq, a predicted model, not a curated record